CGCGGCCUAUCAGCUUGUUGGCGGGGUAACGGCCCACCAAGGCAACGACGGGUAGCUGGUUUGAGAGAACGAUCAGCCACACUGGAACUGAGACACGGUCCAGACUUCUACGGGAGGCAGCAGUAGGGAAUCUUGCGCAAUGGGCGAAAGCCUGACGCAGCGACGCCGCGUGCGGGAUGACAGCCCUAGUGGUUGUAAACCGCUUUCAGCAGGGACGAAAAUGACGGUACCUGCAGAAGAAGUCCCGGCUAACUACGUGCCAGCAGCCGCGGUAAUACGUAGGGGACAAGCGUUGUCCGGAUUCAUUGGGCGUAAAGAGCUCGUAGGCGGUUCAGUAAGUUGGGUGUGAAAGCUCCGGGCUCAACCCGGAGAGGCCACUCAAUACUGCUGUGACUAGAGUCCAGUAGAGGAGCGUGGAACUCCUGGUGUAGCGGUGAAAUGCGCAGAUAUCAGGAAGAACACCGGCAGCGAAGGCGGCGCUCUGGGCUGGUACUGACGCUGAGGAGCGAAAGCAUGGGUAGCAAACAGGAUUAGAUACCCUGGUAGUCCAUGCCGUAAACGUUGGGCACUAGGUGUGGGGAGGAAUCAACCCUCUCUGUGCCGUAGCUAACGCAUUAAGCGCCCCGCCUGGGGAGUACGG
Molecule: ribosomal RNA, 640 nt
Filed under: uncultured bacterium
Lineage: Bacteria
Description: bacterial SSU rRNA
Rfam family: Bacterial small subunit ribosomal RNA
Source: RNAcentral